Non-coding RNA from Crenothrix polyspora, 73 nucleotides. The record is from Rfam. NCBI's taxonomy places the organism in Bacteria, Pseudomonadati, Pseudomonadota, Gammaproteobacteria, Methylococcales, Crenotrichaceae.
GGGUCGCUAGCUCAGCCGGUAGAGCACCGCACUUUUAAUGCGAUGGUCAUGCGUUCGAAUCGCAUGCGACCCA